Molecule: ribosomal RNA, 414 nt
Filed under: uncultured prokaryote
Description: partial 16S ribosomal RNA
Source: RNAcentral
CCCUAUGGGGUGCAGCCGGCUGGUGCUAUUAAAUUAGGGGACCUUGUCCUCGUAUAUUUUGAUGAUGAGCGCACGUAUAUGAUCGAUGUGACGCCCGGCAAGCGCGUCUCCAUCCAUUGUGGAAAACCGCUUUCCGUAGAUGAGUGGAUCGGCCAGCCCUUCGGUAAAAAGAUCAUUUGCGAACACGGCUUUUGCUAUCUCCUCAAGCCCACGAUGGAGGACCUUAUGAUGAAGGCCUCGCGCGAAAGCGGCAUUAUUUAUCCGAAGGAUGCGGCGCUUCUCAUCAUGAAAGCCGGCAUCCAUAGCGGUUCGAAAGUGAUGGAGAUCGGUACCGGAUCUGGCUCUCUUACCAUGGCACUGGCACAGGCCGUGGCGCCGUCCGGACAUGGCUUCUCCUAUGAUUGGCGGGGGAGC